UUAAGCGACUAAGCGUACACGGUGGAUGCCCUGGCAGUCAGAGGCGAUGAAGGACGUGCUAAUCUGCGAUAAGCGCCGGUAAGGUGAUAUGAACCGUUAUAACCGGCGAUUUCCGAAUGGGGAAACCCAGUGUGAUUCGUCACACUAUCAUUAACUGAAUCCAUAGGUUAAUGAGGCGAACCGGGGGAACUGAAACAUCUAAGUACCCCGAGGAAAAGAAAUCAACCGAGAUUCCCCCAGUAGCGGCGAGCGAACGGGGAGGAGCCCAGAGCCUGAAUCAGCAUGUGUGUUAGUGGAAGCGUCUGGAAAGGCGCGCGAUACAGGGUGACAGCCCCGUACACAAAAGCGCAUGUGCUGUGAGCUCGAUGAGUAGGGCGGGACACGUGGUAUCCUGUCUGAAUAUGGGGGGACCAUCCUCCCAAGGCUAAAUACUCCUGACUGACCGAUAGUGAACCAGUACCGUGAGGGAAAGGCGAAAAGAACCCCGGCGAGGGGAGUGAAAAAGAACCUGAAACCGUGUACGUACAAGCAGUGGGAGCACAGGUUUACCUGUGUGACUGCGUACCUUUUGUAUAAUGGGUCAGCGACUUAUAUUCUGUAGCAAGGUUAACCGUAUAGGGGAGCCGUAGGGAAACCGAGUCUUAACCGGGCGUUAAGUUGCAGGGUAUAGACCCGAAACCCGGUGAUCUAGCCAUGGGCAGGUUGAAGGUUGGGUAACACUAACUGGAGGACCGAACCGACUAAUGUUGAAAAAUUAGCGGAUGACCUGUGGCUGGGGGUGAAAGGCCAAUCAAACCGGGAGAUAGCUGGUUCUCCCCGAAAGCUAUUUAGGUAGCGCCUCGUGAAUUCAUCUCCGGGGGUAGAGCACUGUUUCGGCUAGGGGGCCAUCCCCGGCUUACCAACCCGAUGCAAACUGCGAAUACCGGAGAAUGUUAUCACGGGAGACACACGGCGGGUGCUAACGUCCGUCGUGAAGAGGGAAACAACCCAGACCGCCAGCUAAGGUCCCAAAGUCAUGGUUAAGUGGGAAACGAUGUGGGAAGGCCCAGACAGCCAGGAUGUUGGCUUAGAAGCAGCCAUCAUUUAAAGAAAGCGUAAUAGCUCACUGGUCGAGUCGGCCUGCGCGGAAGAUGUAACGGGGCUAAACCAUGCACCGAAGCUGCGGCAGCGAACGUAUCACCCAAGACAACUUUACGGAGUUGACGAUUGACGGAGCGAAGCGACGUCAAAGCGUUCAUUAAAGUCGAGUUGGCUUAGGGAUACGUUCGUUGGGUAGGGGAGCGUUCUGUAAGCCUGUGAAGGUGUGUCGUGAGGCAUGCUGGAGGUAUCAGAAGUGCGAAUGCUGACAUAAGUAACGAUAAAGCGGGUGAAAAGCCCGCUCGCCGGAAGACCAAGGGUUCCUGUCCAACGUUAAUCGGGGCAGGGUGAGUCGACCCCUAAGGCGAGGCCGAAAGGCGUAGUCGAUGGGAAACGGGUUAAUAUUCCCGUACUUGGUGUUACUGCGAAGGGGGGGACGGAGAAGGCUAUGUUGGCCGGGCGACGGUUGUCCCGGUUUAAGCGUGUAGGUGUGUGUUCCAGGUAAAUCCGGUUCACUUUAACACUGAGGCGUGACGACGAGGCACUACGGUGCUGAAGCAACAAAUGCCCUGCUUCCAGGAAAAGCCUCUAAGCAUCAGGUAACACGAAAUCGUACCCCAAACCGACACAGGUGGUCAGGUAGAGAAUACCAAGGCGCUUGAGAGAACUCGGGUGAAGGAACUAGGCAAAAUGGUGCCGUAACUUCGGGAGAAGGCACGCUGACACGUAGGUGAAGUGAUUUACUCAUGGAGCUGAAGUCAGUCGAAGAUACCAGCUGGCUGCAACUGUUUAUUAAAAACACAGCACUGUGCAAACACGAAAGUGGACGUAUACGGUGUGACGCCUGCCCGGUGCCGGAAGGUUAAUUGAUGGGGUCAGCGCAAGCGAAGCUCCUGAUCGAAGCCCCGGUAAACGGCGGCCGUAACUAUAACGGUCCUAAGGUAGCGAAAUUCCUUGUCGGGUAAGUUUCCGACCUGCACGAAUGGCGUAAUGAUGGCCAGGCUGUCUCCACCCGAGACUCAGUGAAAUUGAACUCGCUGUGAAGAUGCAGUGUACCCGCGGCAAGACGGAAAGACCCCGUGAACCUUUACUAUAGCUUGACACUGAACAUUGAGCCUUGAUGUGUAGGAUAGGUGGGAGGCUUUGAAGUGUGGACGCCAGUCUGCAUGGAGCCGACCUUGAAAUACCACCCUUUAAUGUUUUGAUGUUCUAACGUGGACCCGUAAUCCGGGUUGCGGACAGUGUCUGGUGGGUAGUUUGACUGGGGCGGUCUCCUCCUAAAGAGUAACGGAGGAGCACGAAGGUUGGCUAAUCCUGGUCGGACAUCAGGAGGUUAGUGCAAUGGCAUAAGCCAGCUUGACUGCGAGCGUGACGGCGCGAGCAGGUGCGAAAGCAGGUCAUAGUGAUCCGGUGGUUCUGAAUGGAAGGGCCAUCGCUCAACGGAUAAAAGGUACUCCGGGGAUAACAGGCUGAUACCGCCCAAGAGUUCAUAUCGACGGCGGUGUUUGGCACCUCGAUGUCGGCUCAUCACAUCCUGGGGCUGAAGUAGGUCCCAAGGGUAUGGCUGUUCGCCAUUUAAAGUGGUACGCGAGCUGGGUUUAGAACGUCGUGAGACAGUUCGGUCCCUAUCUGCCGUGGGCGCUGGAGAACUGAGGGGGGCUGCUCCUAGUACGAGAGGGACCGGAGUGGACGCAUCACUGGUGUUCGGGUUGUCAUGCCAAUGGCACUGCCCGGUAGCUAAAUGCGGAAGAGAUAAGUGCUGAAAGCAUCUAAGCACGAAACUUGCCCCGAGAUGAGUUCUCCCUGAGACUUAGAGUCUCCUGAAGGAACGUUGAAGACGACGACGUUGAUAGGCCGGGUGUGUAAGCGCAGCGAUGCGUUGAGCUAACCGGUACUAAUGAACCGUGAGGCUUAACCUU
This 2996-nucleotide ribosomal RNA is filed under the name Salmonella sp. NCTC 11881. RNAcentral's name for it is "23S ribosomal RNA". It matches the Rfam family "Bacterial large subunit ribosomal RNA". Lineage: Bacteria; Pseudomonadati; Pseudomonadota; Gammaproteobacteria; Enterobacterales; Enterobacteriaceae. The record is from RNAcentral.